This is a long non-coding RNA of Malaclemys terrapin pileata, 918 nucleotides long. RefSeq lists it as uncharacterized. The transcript is spliced from 2 exons. The record is from RefSeq and is a predicted model, not a curated record. NCBI's taxonomy places the organism in Eukaryota, Metazoa, Chordata, Testudines, Emydidae.
GACAUGAGGGCCACUGCGAAUGACCAGGUGGGUCACUGGCCUGUAGAGGGUGCUCCGGGCUGGAUUGAGCUGAUUCCCCAGAUGACCAGCAGGAGGUGCCACAGAGGUGAGUCUGACCCACUUACUGGGGGAGGGGGCCUGGUUCUGCCGUUACAUCCCAGCUAGGCACAUUGGGGCUCUGAUGCUGGUAAUGCAGCCGGACUCUCUCUCUCAUUGCGCAGGGUCGACAGGUGACACAGUCACACUUGCCUCAGGGAUCCUUGUCCUCCUCGUGACUUUCCUAUUUCUGUGUAGACCCAGUGUCUAUCAGCAGAAGAUCCACCAGACAGCUUCUUUAGGAAGGAAUUCACAAGGUUAAAUUCCUGCUCAGGAAGCGCUUGGGGAACAAUGCAUCUUGGAAUGCUCCAAUCCACAUAAGAAGUCUUCCUGGAGACAUGCAAGAUACCAUGUGGACAAUGGCGUCGGCCUGUAAAGACUGAGUCAUGCAGGGACAUGUGACUUGCCCAGGUGACUCCAGAACUCCAUCUUGAAGCUGGAAUUUGCAUAGGAGGGGGGGGUCUCCACCCACAAGAGAGAGUCUAUUUAAAUCCAUGGGAGACCCCUCCAUUUUGUCUUCAGCUGGCUAAAGAGAGAGCCUCUCCACCCCCCCCAAAGAUACUUGAAAGAAACUUGAACAAAGGACAGUAACUACAGGGUGUGUGAGUGAUUGCUGGACCCAGGCUAAAAGGAGAUUAGUCUGUAAAAGGGAGCAUUCUGGAACUGGUGAGGGUUUUAUCUGUAUUCAGUUUAAUUAGACAUAGACUUGCGUGUUUUGUUUUAUUUUGCUCGGUGACUUACUUUGUUCUGUCUGUUACCACUUGGAAUCACUUAAAUGCUACUUUCUGUGUUUAAUAAAAUCACUUUUUACUUAUUAGCUAA